GACGAACGCUGGCGGCGUGCCUAAUACAUGCAAGUUGAACGCUAAAGCUUUAACUGGUGCUUGCACCGACUUAAGUUUUUAGAGUAGCGGACGGGUGAGUAACACGUGGGUAACCUGCCCAUCAGAGGGGGAUAACACUUGGAAACAGGUGCUAAUACCGCAUAAUUCCUUUUACCGCAUGGUAAAAGGCUGAAAGGCGCUUCUGGUGUCACUGAUGGAUGGACCCGCGGCGUAUUAACUAGUUGGUAAGGUAACGGCUUACCAAGGUGAUGAUACGUAGCCGAACUGAGAGGUUGAUCGGCCACAAUGGGACUGAGACACGGCCCAUACUCCUACGGGAGGCAGCAGUAGGGAAUCUUCCACAAUGGGCGCAAGCCUGAUGGAGCAACGCCGCGUGAAUGAAGAAGGUCUUCGGAUCGUAAAGUUCUGUUAUUAGAGAAGAACACGUGUAAGAGUAACUGAUUAUGCGUUGACGGUAUCUAAUCAGCAAGUCACGGCUAACUACGUGCCAGCCGCCGCAGUAACAC
This 527-nucleotide ribosomal RNA is filed under the name uncultured bacterium. RNAcentral describes it as "bacterial SSU rRNA". It matches the Rfam family "Bacterial small subunit ribosomal RNA", at positions 28 to 526 of the family's 1533-position model. The record is from RNAcentral.